UAACCCCUCAAGCUCAGCUUGGUGUUGGGGCCUGCCGACUGGCAGCCCUUAAAAUCAGUGGCGGCGCCAUCUGGCUCUAAGCGUAGUAAUUUCUCUCGCUAUAGAGUCCCGAUGGAUGCUUGCCAGCAACCCCCAACUUUCUAU
This 144-nucleotide unclassified non-coding RNA is filed under the name uncultured Mycoarthris. RNAcentral's name for it is "sequence contains ITS2". Lineage: Eukaryota; Fungi; Ascomycota; Leotiomycetes; Helotiales. The record is from RNAcentral.